AACGAACGCUGGCGGCAGGCCUAACACAUGCAAGUCGAACGCUGUAGUAAUACAGAGUGGCAGACGGGUGAGUAACACGUGGGAAUCUUCCUAUCGGUACGGAAUAGCUCAGGGAAACUUGGGGUAAUACCGCUUACGCCCUUCGGGGGAAAGAUUUAUCGCCGAUAGAUGAGCCCGCGUCUGAUUAGCUAGUUGGUGAGGUAAUGGCUCACCAAGGCGACGAUCAGUAGCUGGUCUGAGAGGAUGACCAGCCACACUGGGACUGAGACGCGGCCCAGACUCCUACGGGCGGCAGCAGUGGGGAAUAUUGGACAAUGGGCGCAGGCCUGAUCCAGCCAUGCCGCGUGAGUGACGAAGGUCUUCGGAUUGUAAAGCUCUUUUGGCGGGGACGAUAAUGACGGUACCCGCAGAAUAAGCCCCGGCUAACUUCGUGCCAGCCGCCGCGGUAA
Molecule: ribosomal RNA, 449 nt
Filed under: uncultured bacterium
Lineage: Bacteria
Description: partial 16S ribosomal RNA
Rfam family: Bacterial small subunit ribosomal RNA
Source: RNAcentral